Molecule: long non-coding RNA, 361 nt
Organism: Mizuhopecten yessoensis (Yesso scallop)
Lineage: Eukaryota; Metazoa; Mollusca; Bivalvia; Pectinida; Pectinidae
Exons: 3
Source: RefSeq, a predicted model, not a curated record
GGAAAUUCCGUCAGCGGUUCUGGAUGGACAUUAGGUUUCAGCCGACCUGUGACCAAUGUCGCAAGCGAACUACCCCAGACCGACAGGACUGUCUUGCUGUAAGUGGACAGAACCCUGGUCAGAUAUAUCUAGGAAGGUUGUCUGAGCUCUAGUUGGGUGAUUUGGCGUCUGGGGUAUCUGAAGCUUGAUAGAUUUAUGACAUUUCAGCUGCAUUAUUCACUCCUUUAACAAAGUUUUUAACCCUGGCGAACACCUUUAUUGAGGUACAAGGACCUUUAUGGUUAUAUGUGGGGAUCCGAUAUCAUGUACCCCUCCGUGAUAGUCCUGAGGGGAACAUGUAAUCAUACUGAGUCAAGUGCUU